This 747-nucleotide ribosomal RNA is filed under the name Proasellus ibericus. Its description in RNAcentral is "12S ribosomal RNA". The record is from RNAcentral. Lineage: Eukaryota; Metazoa; Arthropoda; Malacostraca; Isopoda; Asellidae.
CAAACAGAGGUGAAUUUUUGUUAAUAAUUUUAUUGGGCUCCCCUUCUUCUAUAAGUUUAAAUCUAGCUAAAAGUAUAAAUCUUAUUUAAUGUAUAUAAAAUUAUAAAAUUAAUCUAAAAUUGUUUAGUACAAAAAAUUUUGCAACUAGAUAACCUAGUUAAAGUAAAUAAAUGAUCUACUAGGUGCCAGCACUCGCGGUUACACCUAUAUUUAAUAUGCACUUCAAGGCGCAGGGACAAUUAUUUCAAACUAAAAACACCAGAGGUAAAAUUCUGCUUGUUUUUUUCACUUGCACACCUUAUAAAUUAACCAAUAAACAGGGAUUAGACACCCCUCUAUAUAAAAUAAACCAGAGCCUAGGGUAGUAAGUAUUAUAUAGCCCAAACCCAAAGAUUUUGGCGGCAAUUAACCUUUCCAGAGAGACCUGUUUAUUUAUUUGACAACCCUCCCUAUAUCUUACUUUUACUAAAACUUGCAUACCGUCAUCUAGAUUUUAUCUUAAGGUAAAUAUCCCAAAGGUAACAAAAAUGUUAGAUCAACGCGCAGUAAAUAUAAAAGCUCAUAAUGGGUCUCAAUUUAAACCAAAUAGAAAAAAAAUUAACAACUUUUUUAAAGAGGAUUUGGGUGUAAUAAUUUUUUAAAAUGAUAAUAUGACUAAGCCAUUGAUUGUGUACAUAUCGCCCGUCGCCCUCGACACGAGGUAAGUCGUAACAUAGUAGAAGUACUAGAAAGUGUUUCUUUAUUUAA